RNAcentral lists this ribosomal RNA (253 nucleotides) under uncultured bacterium. RNAcentral's name for it is "partial 16S ribosomal RNA". It matches the Rfam family "Bacterial small subunit ribosomal RNA", at positions 524 to 776 of the family's 1533-position model. The record is from RNAcentral.
UACGAAGGGUGCAAGCGUUAAUCGGAAUUACUGGGCGUAAAGCGUGCGUAGGCGGUUUCUUAAGUCUGCUGUGAAAGCCCCGGGCUCAACCUGGGAAUGGCGGUGGAUACUGAGGAGCUGGAGUACGGUAGAGGAAGGUGGAAUUCCCGGUGUAGCGGUGAAAUGCGUAGAGAUCGGGAGGAACAUCAGUGGCGAAGGCGGCCUUCUGGACUGCAACUGACACUGAAAAACGAAAGCCAGGGGAGCAAACGGG